AUCCUUCUAGUAUAGUGGUAAUAUAGGUAGCUUCCAACUACUUGAUUUUGGUUCGAUUCCAUAGAAGGAUA
This 71-nucleotide transfer RNA is filed under the name Pentapodus setosus (butterfly whiptail). Its description in RNAcentral is "tRNA-Gly". It matches the Rfam family "tRNA". From Rfam's summary of the family: Transfer RNA (tRNA) molecules are approximately 80 nucleotides in length. Their secondary structure includes four short double-helical elements and three loops (D, anti-codon, and T loops). Lineage: Eukaryota; Metazoa; Chordata; Actinopteri; Spariformes; Nemipteridae. The record is from RNAcentral.